Molecule: long non-coding RNA, 921 nt
Organism: Helianthus annuus (common sunflower)
Lineage: Eukaryota; Viridiplantae; Streptophyta; Magnoliopsida; Asterales; Asteraceae
Exons: 4
Source: RefSeq, a predicted model, not a curated record
GAUCGAUUGUUCUGUUCAUCUGCGCCAACAUCCUCAUUCAUCGUUAAUCUUCAAUUUCUCCAACUACUCAUCUAUGUUCUCAUCAAUCUUCAAUUACUCCCCCAUCUACCACCCUUACAUAUGCCCUAUAUCUACCCACAAACUUCAAACAAGCGACAUCAGCAGCUUACCAGCGACAGCGACAUCAGCAGCUUUUGCUCCGGCGGCCCUUCUUCUUCCACACUCCAAGAGGUCGCAUUUACAUUCUAAAGGGAAUGAGGAGAUGAUAUAUACAAGGGGAAUUGACGAAUGUUUGUUUUUUUUCUAACUGAGAAUUGACUGGUUUUCUUUUCUUUUUCUAAAACUGAUGUCGAAUGUUUGUUUGUUUUUUUUCUAACUGAGAAUGUUUGUUUAUUUUCAAACCGAGAAUGUUAUUUAAUUUACUGAUGUCGAAUAUUUCGUAAAAUGUUUUUCAGUUGCAUCGACGAUGAAGUUUUGUUAAGCAGUAUCGAGCUCCACUCUACAAUGAUAUGGAGUUGCACUCUGCAAAGAAACGCAUACAACUUUUUAAGAAACGAAUAUGUGGUACAAGUGGACUACACUACUUUCGUAAAAAGUUGAAAAACUCGUGGGGCGAAUGGGGACUUCAAGGAACUACAUGGGUCGGGAGUGACUUUUUCGACGAGGCUUGUGUACCAAGUAUUUGAGGAGGUUGAUUUCUCUUAACUUAACUGAUGUUUAUUUUGUUUAAAGUAGACUUAGUUCUCGAUUUUAGUUAUUAUUUACAGACAUUGUGUAAUGCAUUAGCAAAGUUAGUGCUUUCUUUGUAAUGGGUUUGUUUAUUUUGUUCAUGUUGGUGCUAUUUGUUUUCCUUUUGUUUGUAAUGCUACUAACUUUCCUUGCUAGUUUUACAUAAAUUGCUGUUCAAAAAGUGUUUCCUUC